UAACAAGGUUUCCGUAGGUGAACCUGCGGAAGGAUCAU
Molecule: non-coding RNA, 38 nt
Filed under: Sus scrofa (pig)
Lineage: Eukaryota; Metazoa; Chordata; Mammalia; Artiodactyla; Suidae
Also listed under: 3 other names
Source: RNAcentral